AGUGAACGCUGGCGGUAGGCCUAACACACGCAAGUCGAACGGCAGCACAGUAAGAGCUUGCUCUUACGGGUGGCGAGUGGCGGACGGGUGAGGAAUACAUCGGAAUCUACUUUUUCGUGGGGGAUAACGUAGGGAAACUUACGCUAAUACCGCAUACGACCUACGGGUGAAAGCAGGGGAUCUUCGGACCUUGCGCGAUUGAAUGAGCCGAUGUCGGAUUAGCUAGUUGGCGGGGUAAAGGCCCACCAAGGCGACGAUCCGUAGCUGGUCUGAGAGGAUGAUCAGCCACACUGGAACUGAGACACGGUCCAGACUCCUACGGGAGGCAGCUGUGGGGAAUAUUGGACAAUGGGCGCAAGCCUGAUCCAGCCAUACCGCGUGGGUGAAGAAGGCCUUCGGGUUGUAAAGCCCUUUUGUUGGGAAAGAAAAGCAGCAGGUUAAUACCCCGCUGUUCUGACGGUACCCAAAGAAUAAGCACCGGCUAACUUCGUG
Molecule: ribosomal RNA, 492 nt
Filed under: uncultured bacterium
Lineage: Bacteria
Description: partial 16S ribosomal RNA
Rfam family: Bacterial small subunit ribosomal RNA
Source: RNAcentral